UGAGCAAUCUGCCCUUCUCAUCGGAAUAAGCGUUGGAAACGACGUCUAAUGCCGAAUACGACCUCCUUUCGCAUGAUCGGAGGUGGAAAGCUCCGGCGGAGAAGGAUGAGCUCGCGGCCUAUCAGCUAGUGGGUGUGGGUAAUGGCCCACCAAGGCGACGACGGGUAGCCGGCCUGAGAGGGUGACCGGCCACACGUGGGACUGAGACACGGCCCAGACCUCCUACAGGAGG
RNAcentral lists this ribosomal RNA (232 nucleotides) under uncultured bacterium. Its description in RNAcentral is "partial 16S ribosomal RNA". It matches the Rfam family "Bacterial small subunit ribosomal RNA", at positions 118 to 348 of the family's 1533-position model. The record is from RNAcentral.